UCCCUGGUGGCUUAGAUGGUUAAGCAUCUGCCUACAAUGCAGGAGACCCAGGCUCGAUCCCUGGGUUGGGAA
Bos taurus (domestic cattle) is the source of this 72-nucleotide non-coding RNA. The record is from Rfam. Lineage: Eukaryota; Metazoa; Chordata; Mammalia; Artiodactyla; Bovidae.